This 303-nucleotide ribosomal RNA is filed under the name uncultured bacterium. Its description in RNAcentral is "partial 16S ribosomal RNA". It matches the Rfam family "Bacterial small subunit ribosomal RNA", at positions 507 to 807 of the family's 1533-position model. The record is from RNAcentral.
AGCAGCAGCCACGGUAAUACGAAGGGUGCAAGCGUUAAUCGGAAUUACUGGGCGUAAAGCGUGCGUAGGCGGUUUGUUAAGUCUGCUGUGAAAUCCCCGGGCUCAACCUGGGAAUGGCAGUGGAUACUGGCAAGCUAGAGUGUGUCAGAGGAUGGUGGAAUUCCCGGUGUAGCGGUGAAAUGCGUAGAGAUCGGGAGGAACAUCAGUGGCGAAGGCGGCCAUCUGGGACAACACUGACGCUGAGGCACGAAAGCGUGGGGAGCAAACAGGAUUAGAUACCCCCGUAGUCCCUGUCUCUUAUAC